UUGAUAAAACAGGAUUGAAACAAGGCACUAAGCCCUGUCCUUGGGUCUGAUUGGGAUCAACACAAACAUAUAGGCUUGAAUUGCAUUAGUUUAGUUCCUUCACAUUGAAUUAUAAAUUGAUACUGCCCUUAACUUUAAAAUGGAUUAUUUCCAAAUAAACAAAAAAAGACACUUCUGGCCUCUUCUGCUAAACCAUCACUGAGGACCCCAUCCUUUGAGUUACUCUUGUCCCUUAUAUCAGGACAUAUUCCACUUUAACCUCAGCCUUAUUUCCUUUUUUUUUUUUUUUAAAUCAAGUAGUGAUACCUCAGCUACCAAGAGCUCAGAGUUCACAUUCAUGCUUGCUGAAGGAGGAGGGAGAUGGGAGAGUUCUACUCCAACCCUCCCCUCAUGUGGGCUGAAGAGUGCAAGUCUCUCCUCUACAGAAAGGGAUUGGGCUGAUGGAAGUAGACCCCCAUCUACAGUCUAAUUGGGCUCCAUCCCGUUAGAUAGGUAAGACUCGAGUGAGACCCUUCCACCAGCAUCCUGAGAGCUUGUUAGAAACGCAGAAGCUCAGGCUCCACUCCAGAUCCACUGAGCCAGAAUCUGCAUCUGACCCAGCUCCCUGGGAAAUUCGUAUGCGUGUUCAAGUUUGAGAAGCACUGCUCUGGCCUGAAGCCCGCACACUAAAAACAUUACUUUGGUCUGUUCCUGGAUUGUACUUUCUGUGGAGGAGGAUGGAGCAUUCAGAAUGCUGCCCAGGACAGUGACCACAAGACACAUGUGACUACUGAGGAUUUGAAGUGUGGCUAGCCAAGUGAAGAUGUACAGAAAAUGUCAAAUACUCUCUGGAUUUAAGAGAUUUAAAUGAAAAAAUGUAAGAUAUAUUUUACUAAUUAAUAAUUUUUGUAUGAAGAGUUAAAAUGACAAUUUUUAAAUACCUUGGUUAAAUAAAAUAUAUCAUUAAAUAAAUUUCAGCUUUUUUUAAAGCUUUCAAAAAUGCC
Manis pentadactyla (Chinese pangolin) is the source of this 983-nucleotide long non-coding RNA. RefSeq lists it as uncharacterized. The record is from RefSeq and is a predicted model, not a curated record. The transcript has 5 exons. NCBI's taxonomy places the organism in Eukaryota, Metazoa, Chordata, Mammalia, Pholidota, Manidae.